CCCUUAGAUGUUCUGGGCCGCACACGCGCUACACUGAAGGAGGCAGCGUGUACUCCUGGAUCGAAAGAUUUGGGUAACCCGCGAAUCUCCUUCGUGCUAGGGAUUGAGGUUUGCAAUUAUCCUUCAUGAACGAGGAAUUCCCAGUAAGUGCAAGUCAUAAGCUUGCGCUGACUACGUCCCUUCCCUUUGUACACACCGCCCGUCGCUACUACCGAUUGAAUGAUUUAGUGAGGACUUCGGACUGGGACCGAUGCGGCUUUCGGGCUGCGUCGGUAUUCUGGAAAGAUGUCCAAACUGUAUCAUUUAGAGGAAGUAAAAGUCGUAACA
RNAcentral lists this ribosomal RNA (327 nucleotides) under uncultured eukaryote. RNAcentral's name for it is "partial 18S ribosomal RNA". It matches the Rfam family "Eukaryotic small subunit ribosomal RNA", at positions 1470 to 1796 of the family's 1831-position model. The record is from RNAcentral.